GCUCAGAGCGAACGCUGGCGGCAGGCCUAACACAUGCAAGUCGAACGGAUCCUUCGGGAUUAGUGGCGGACGGGUGAGUAACACGUGGGAACGUGCCCUUUGGUUCGGAACAACUCAGGGAAACUUGAGCUAAUACCGGAUGUGCCCUUCGGGGGAAAGAUUUAUCGCCAUUGGAGCGGCCCGCGUCUGAUUAGCUAGUUGGUGAGGUAAAGGCUCACCAAGGCGACGAUCAGUAGCUGGUCUGAGAGGAUGAUCAGCCACAUUGGGACUGAGACACGGCCCAAACUCCUACGGGAGGCAGCAGUGGGGAAUCUUGCGCAAUGGGCGAAAGCCUGACGCAGCCAUGCCGCGUGAAUGAUGAAGGUCUUAGGAUUGUAAAAUUCUUUCACCGGGGACGAUAA
RNAcentral lists this ribosomal RNA (401 nucleotides) under Caulobacter vibrioides. RNAcentral describes it as "bacterial SSU rRNA". It matches the Rfam family "Bacterial small subunit ribosomal RNA", at positions 22 to 451 of the family's 1533-position model. The record is from RNAcentral. Lineage: Bacteria; Pseudomonadati; Pseudomonadota; Alphaproteobacteria; Caulobacterales; Caulobacteraceae.